GGCCUAUCAGCUCAGUUGGUUAGAGCAUUGUGUUAACAACGCAAAGGUUGCAAGUUCGAGACCUGCAUAGGCCA
Molecule: non-coding RNA, 74 nt
Organism: Telopea speciosissima
Lineage: Eukaryota; Viridiplantae; Streptophyta; Magnoliopsida; Proteales; Proteaceae
Source: the annotation of a RefSeq genome assembly